UACGAGGGGGGCAAAUGUUGUUCGGAAUCACUGGGCGUAAAGGGCGCGUAGGCGGGUUUCUAAGUCAGGUGUUUAAUCCCGGGGCCCAACCCCGGACAGGCACUUGAAACUGGAAAUCUUGAAUAGUGGAGAGGUCAGUGGAAUUGGGGGUGUAGCGGUGGAAUGCGUAGAUAUCCGGAGGAACACCAGUGGCGAAAGCGGCCACCUGGACUGCACCUGACGCUGACACGCGAAAGCUAGGGGAGCGAACGGG
RNAcentral lists this ribosomal RNA (253 nucleotides) under uncultured bacterium. RNAcentral's name for it is "partial 16S ribosomal RNA". It matches the Rfam family "Bacterial small subunit ribosomal RNA", at positions 524 to 776 of the family's 1533-position model. The record is from RNAcentral.